Long non-coding RNA from Lolium rigidum, 1368 nucleotides. RefSeq lists it as uncharacterized. Lineage: Eukaryota; Viridiplantae; Streptophyta; Magnoliopsida; Poales; Poaceae. The record is from RefSeq and is a predicted model, not a curated record. The transcript has 4 exons.
GCCGUUCUGGACCAGUUGGACAAGUUACUGCAGCUCUCAAGGACCACUGGUCCAGUUUUGGUUUGGAGGAUCCAGCAAGGCCAGAGCUUCCCCGUUCCCCCUUCUCGUACCAUCUUCUCGGCGAGCGGCCGGCGGAGCGAUUUCAGCAGGGAGCGCGCGGAUUCGGCAAGCCAUGGAUUUCCCGCUAGAUCCGAUUAGCAGCCGUGUUGAAUCUGCAAGGAGAGGACUCGGUAAGCAGCAACGCUGGUCCGGUGGCGGCGGUCGAGCUUGGGAACCUGGUGGGCAGUACCGGUGUGGAUGAUGUCGGUAGCUGCAUGGCUUGCCUGGUACCGUUGGCCGGCGAUUCCGGAGAAUCAACUCAGGACGAUCCACAAGACCCCGGAUGGAAGAAGAGAGUCCAUGUCGGUCGUGCACCUCCAGAUAGAACUCGUUGCGCGGAAUGGAAAAGCGCAUUAGAGAAAUCAGUCCGGUGUUACGCAGAAACUCGGCGACGAGGUCAUUGACUCGAUAAGUGAGGCAUAUGAUUUCUAUAAUUUGUAUUCCUGGGAGCGUGGUUUUGGGGUCAGAUAUGAAAGAGCUAGCUAAAUUCAGCGAAGACGAAAUGCAUGCAGGAAAUCGUAUGCGGGUGCUCGGGGAAGCCGACAGGUGAAAAUACAAGGUCAUGUUGCUGUGAAUGUUGAGGUCUGCAGACAACGGUUGGUACAUUACGGAGCAUCAGGCGAGUCACACUCAUGUGCUGACGGAGACAUGUGGUGAGACUGCAUUCUAGCCUUAUCAACGACGGCGUAAACCUUAGGGUUCGCGUCCUGUGCCUCAAUCCCUUUAAGUGCCUCCCGAUUCAAUCUAUCCUUCCGCGAAACGAUACCACCGAAACGUACCUCACACGGAGACCUGCUCGCCCAAGAUUCGUACUCCUUCCUGAUCUCCAAUACCUGAUUACCGCUAAGACUCAUGUUGCUCCCGGAUUGGUAUGGCGGCGGCGUGCGGUCGCCCACGAGUCGGCCAUGUCGACCUGAAAUGCUUGAGCUCCUGCAGCUGACUUCAUCAGCUUUGACCUGGUGCUCAUCUGAAUGUUUAACUUGAGUAGAACAUGAGCAAACAAGGGGCUAAAGCCACUCCAAGGUGUUCACAUGCGUGGAUUCCCUGAGUAGAACUGUAUUACCUGAGGGGCUGAGCAUCCCCGGGUAUUUAUCAUACCUGGUUUCCCUGUAAUAGAACAGUAGCAAUAUUUGAGGGCUUGGCCACUGCAGAUGUUUAAGGGCACGGUUCACUUAAGUAGAAUUGUACGAAAAAAGGGUCCUAGCAUCUGUCAAGUGUUUUGCUGAAUGGUUUCCUGUAAUAGAACAUUAGUAAAAUUGAUGAUUGGGC